ACACAGCCGUGCUGGCGGGCGCCCGGCGUUCUCACCCCCGACCCUCACAGCCCGGAGGAGGAGGAGAGGCAGCAGCAGCAACAGCAGCAGUGCAGCAGCGAGUACAUCACUAUGGCAACCAGCGUCAUGACGUUUGUCCGCCUGUCCGGCGCCAUCUGAUUACGUCAUCCAGAAGUUCCUACUACACUGGUAGUGGAGUGCGUGCGAUCGCUGGCGUGGGACAGGACUCAAGGCGCUUUACAGACAUCAAAAACAAUGCACACAAUACAGAAAAUGUA
Long non-coding RNA from Pseudophryne corroboree (corroboree frog), 278 nucleotides. RefSeq lists it as uncharacterized. The transcript has 3 exons. The record is from RefSeq and is a predicted model, not a curated record. Lineage: Eukaryota; Metazoa; Chordata; Amphibia; Anura; Myobatrachidae.